This 511-nucleotide ribosomal RNA is filed under the name Colletotrichum magnum. RNAcentral's name for it is "eukaryotic LSU rRNA". It matches the Rfam family "Eukaryotic large subunit ribosomal RNA", at positions 87 to 607 of the family's 3401-position model. Lineage: Eukaryota; Fungi; Ascomycota; Sordariomycetes; Glomerellales; Glomerellaceae. The record is from RNAcentral.
CGGCGAGUGAAGCGGCAACAGCUCAAAUUUGAAAUCUGGCCCCCCGGGUCCGAGUUGUAAUUUGCAGAGGAUGCUUUUGGCGCGGUGCCUUCCGAGUUCCCUGGAACGGGACGCCAUAGAGGGUGAGAGCCCCGUACGGUUGGACACCAAGCCUAUGUAAAGCUCCUUCGACGAGUCGAGUAGUUUGGGAAUGCUGCUCAAAAUGGGAGGUAUAUUUCUUCUAAAGCUAAAUACCGGCCAGAGACCGAUAGCGCACAAGUAGAGUGAUCGAAAGAUGAAAAGCACUUUGAAAAGAGGGUUAAACAGCACGUGAAAUUGUUAAAAGGGAAGCGCUUGUGACCAGACUUGCGUCCGGUGAAUCACCCAGCUCUCGCGGCUGGGGCACUUUGCCGGCUCAGGCCAGCAUCAGCUCGCCGUCGGGGACAAAAGCUUCGGGAACGUAGCUCUCUUCGGGGAGUGUUAUAGCCCGUUGCACAAUACCCUUCGGCGGGCUGAGGUACGCGACUCCGCA